RNAcentral lists this ribosomal RNA (424 nucleotides) under uncultured prokaryote. Its description in RNAcentral is "bacterial SSU rRNA". It matches the Rfam family "Bacterial small subunit ribosomal RNA", at positions 355 to 796 of the family's 1533-position model. The record is from RNAcentral.
UGGGGAAUAUUGCACAAUGGGGGAAACCCUGAUGCAGCGACGCCGCGUGAAGGAAGAAGGUUUUCGGAUCGUAAACUUCUAUCAGCAGGGAAGAUAGUGACAGUACCUGACUAAGAAGCCCCGGCUAACUACGUGCCAGCAGCCGCGGUAAUACGUAGGGGGCAAGCGUUAUCCGGAUUUACUGGGUGUAAAGGGUGCGUAGGCGGCGGAGUAAGUCAGAUGUGAAAGCCCCAGGCUCAACCUGGGGACUGCAUUUGAAACUGCUUUGCUAGAGUGCAGGAGAGGAAAGUGGAAUUCCUAGUGUAGCGGUGAAAUGCGUAGAUAUUAGGAGGAACACCAGUGGCGAAGGCGACUUUCUGGACUGUAACUGACGCUGAGGCACGAAAGCGUGGGGAGCGAACAGGAUUAGAUACCCCCGUAGUCC